GCCCAGGUAGCUCAGUUGGUUAGAGCCUCCGACUCAUAAUCGGCCGGUCGCGGGUUCAAGCCCCGCCCUGGGCA
Molecule: transfer RNA, 74 nt
Filed under: Gordonia aichiensis
Lineage: Bacteria; Bacillati; Actinomycetota; Actinomycetes; Mycobacteriales; Gordoniaceae
Also listed under: 3 other names
Description: tRNA-Ile
Rfam family: tRNA
About the family: Transfer RNA (tRNA) molecules are approximately 80 nucleotides in length. Their secondary structure includes four short double-helical elements and three loops (D, anti-codon, and T loops).
Source: RNAcentral